This 382-nucleotide ribosomal RNA is filed under the name Aegla laevis talcahuano. Its description in RNAcentral is "partial 12S ribosomal RNA". The record is from RNAcentral. Lineage: Eukaryota; Metazoa; Arthropoda; Malacostraca; Decapoda; Aeglidae.
UAUUAUAUUUAAUAUUAAACAUUACAUAUUUGAUUAUUAAUAGAUAUAUUCUUUAAAUUCAAAGAAUUUGGCGGUAUUUUAGUCUUGUUAGAGGAACCUGUUUUAUAAUCGAUAAUCCACGAACAUCUUACUUAUUUUAAAUAAUUUGUAUACCGUCAUUAUUAGAUAACUUUUAAAAAAAUAGUUAUUAAAAUUAAAUAAAAUUAAAUAAAAUUAAAUAUAUUAGAUCAAGGUGCAGUUUAUAAAUAAGAAAAAAUGGGUUACAAUAAAAUUUAUUUAAUAAACGAAUUAUAUAAAUGUAAAAAUAUAUGAAGGAGGAUUUAAUUGUAAUUUUUUUUUUAUAAAAUAAUAAUAUGAUAAUAGCUCUAAAAUAUGUACAUAU